RNAcentral lists this ribosomal RNA (512 nucleotides) under uncultured Stenotrophomonas sp. RNAcentral describes it as "bacterial SSU rRNA". It matches the Rfam family "Bacterial small subunit ribosomal RNA", at positions 8 to 507 of the family's 1533-position model. The record is from RNAcentral. Lineage: Bacteria; Pseudomonadati; Pseudomonadota; Gammaproteobacteria; Lysobacterales; Lysobacteraceae.
AGAGUUUGAUCCUGGCUCAGAGUGAACGCUGGCGGUAGGCCUAACACAUGCAAGUCGAACGGCAGCACAGUAAGAGCUUGCUCUUAUGGGUGGCGAGUGGCGGACGGGUGAGGAAUACAUCGGAAUCUACCUUUUCGUGGGGGAUAACGUAGGGAAACUUACGCUAAUACCGCAUACGACCUUCGGGUGAAAGCAGGGGACCUUCGGGCCUUGCGCGGAUAGAUGAGCCGAUGUCGGAUUAGCUAGUUGGCGGGGUAAAGGCCCACCAAGGCGACGAUCCGUAGCUGGUCUGAGAGGAUGAUCAGCCACACUGGAACUGAGACACGGUCCAGACUCCUACGGGAGGCAGCAGUGGGGAAUAUUGGACAAUGGGCGCAAGCCUGAUCCAGCCAUACCGCGUGGGUGAAGAAGGCCUUCGGGUUGUAAAGCCCUUUUGUUGGGAAAGAAAAGCAGUCGGCUAAUACCCGGUUGUUCUGACGGUACCCAAAGAAUAAGCACCGGCUAACUUCGUG